RNAcentral lists this long non-coding RNA (204 nucleotides) under Arabidopsis lyrata. Its description in RNAcentral is "long non-coding RNA (ALYR_LNC001080)". The record is from RNAcentral. Lineage: Eukaryota; Viridiplantae; Streptophyta; Magnoliopsida; Brassicales; Brassicaceae.
UAGGAAGCCAUAGGUGUCCUAGACUAAAGGAAACUAUAAUAAACAUACAAAUAUAGAAGAUCUUUUUUUUUUUUUUUUUUGACAUCUGUGAAUCGACAAGGCCCGAUCCAUAGCCAAUCCCUACUACGCGGGGUAACGCGACUGAGUGGAGUCGAACUCCGGUGGGGAAAGCGGAGUCCAAUGGACUUAACCACUUGACUAAAG